GGCCGGCGUGACGAGGAUUGGAUACUCAACAACUACGAAGUAUUCGGCGCUCUCAAAGUAGAGGAGCCAAACGAUGCGCGACGUUAUAAUUGAAGAGCGAACGGGGGUCGAAGGGGCUGUGUCACCUCUUACAAAAGUUAUCUGUCCACUAUCCGAUUCCGUUUACGAGCCAUCGAGAGGACCGACCUCCUUCGGCAGCUCCUACUUCCCGCUUCGGUGCUGCGCAAGAUGAACGGAGGUCCUAUUUCCGGCCGAUAUUUAAAUCCGACGGCGACCGAAUCCGCUCGACCUUAACCGAAGCGUUCGGUCCGGCUGUCACAUUCGCGGCGUGCCGAAUGUCCGUCUCUCUCUUGUGGCGGCGGCAGCGGCGGCGUAACGCGUUAAUGAAAAUGGCAACGCGCCGCGACGCCAUGCGGCAGCUUCGACGGAGUACGCGCGCCAGUAAAUUGCGUCGCUUUAUCAAUCUGAAAUAACACCGGCGCGGGAUACACAAUGAGCGACAAUGCGAGGGACUUACGAGCGCCUCGCAGACCAACGAAAGGACCACCACGUUGCGAUAGAUGCGUCGGUCCAUGUGCCGGAUGAUGCUGCAGUCAAAAGACUUUGCAGAAUAUCUUGAUGUGCAAUAUAUUUUCAAUUUGCAAGCAGAGGAUAGCGAAAGCUUUAAUACAUAAAGCAAAUGAUUUAGCGCAUACAGCAACUUAAAAUAUGCACAAGAAAGUAUAUUUUCAAGAUUAUAGCAGUCAUGAGCUGGUGUAUGUGAUCAACCUAAUAUUUAUUACUGAGAAGAUAAUGAUCUUCAGCAUUGGUACACAAAGAAAUACAAAGGAAACCUUCAAGAUAGCCCAAGAAACGAGAUAUUUAUGGAAGAAACUUGGUGCAUUUAUUCCUGUCUUAAAGAUACUGCAAAACUGCAUUAAUAAACAAACAUUAUGAUAAAAAGAAAUGAAUUUACUCAGGCCAUAUUAAUAUUUUGUUUAUACUGAUUCACCUCUAUUCGCCUAUUUGACUUUAUAAACACACACAAACACACACAUAUGUAUCUUUUCUCUGUAAUUCACUUAUAGUUAAGAUAGAUGAUUUAAUGUAUAUAUACUUAUGUUUGGUAGUUCAUAAUUCCUGAAUUAAAAUUUCUUUAAUAUGUAUCUGAAUGUGACUCAAAAUAGAAACAGAAAAAAACAUUGCUUCUCCUAAUAA
RNAcentral lists this long non-coding RNA (1197 nucleotides) under Harpegnathos saltator (Jerdon's jumping ant). Its description in RNAcentral is "uncharacterized LOC105192496, transcript variant X3". Lineage: Eukaryota; Metazoa; Arthropoda; Insecta; Hymenoptera; Formicidae. The record is from RNAcentral.